UAGGAGAAGGUAGACAAGCCG
Molecule: microRNA, 21 nt
Filed under: Zea mays
Lineage: Eukaryota; Viridiplantae; Streptophyta; Magnoliopsida; Poales; Poaceae
Description: microRNA miR-3120
Source: RNAcentral